GGAGUUAGCCGGUGCUUCUUCUGUGAGUGAUGUCCUUCCUGCCGGCUAUUAACCCGCAGGCCUUCUUCCUCACUGAAAGUGCUUUACAACCCGAAGGCCUUCUUCACACACGCGGCAUGGCUGGAUCAGGGUUGCCCCCCAUUGUCCAAUAUUCCCCACUGCUGCCUCCCGUAGGAGUCUGGGCCGUGUCUCAGUCCCAGUGUGGCUGAUCAUCCUCUCAGACCAGCUACGGAUCGUCGCCUUGGUGAGCCGUUACCUCACCAACCAGCUAAUCCGACAUAGGCUCAUCCGAUAGCGCGAGGCCCGAAGGUCCCCCGCUUUCCCCCGUAGGGCGUAUGCGGUAUUAGCCUGGGUUUCCCCAGGUUACUCCCCACUACCGGGCAGAUUCCUAUGCAUUACUCACCCGUCCGCCGCUCGCCACCAGGGAGCAAGCUCCCCGUGCUGCCGCUCGACUUGCAUGUGUUAGGCCUGCCGCCAGCGUUCAAUCUGAGCCAUGAUCAAACUCUGA
RNAcentral lists this ribosomal RNA (508 nucleotides) under uncultured bacterium. Its description in RNAcentral is "partial 16S ribosomal RNA". The record is from RNAcentral.